Molecule: long non-coding RNA, 1948 nt
Organism: Mus musculus (house mouse)
Lineage: Eukaryota; Metazoa; Chordata; Mammalia; Rodentia; Muridae
Product: predicted gene, 32703
Exons: 3
Source: RefSeq, a predicted model, not a curated record
GCCCUGAAGGAGCAGAUUUCUUUCAGUAAGUAAUUACCAGGCAGGAGAGGAAAAAAGGCUAAAGAAACCUGUAAAUAACCUCACAGGGAAAUGACACACUGAGCAAAUAGACGGAGGAAGGUUUUUCUGUUUGUUUGUUUAAUUUUCUACCUAUUCAACGAAAAGAAAGGGAACAAAUGAAGUCCAGAGAGAAUGUGCAAAUGAUAGCUUGCUGACCUAGAUGGUGAGAAUGGUGAAGCUGAGAAGGCAGUCUGCAGUGUGGAAAUCUGAGGAGGCUGAGGAACGAAAGCACUACCCGCCACUGACGCAAGAUUCAUACAAUGAUUUACUUUGCUGCCAAAGUCCUUCCAAUAUUUGAAAAACACAAGAAAGACCAUCAUCGUGAGGAAAGCCAAAUCGGAUUUGUCCCAGAAACAUCUUCAAGCAAAGGUUUCAACUCCACAGUCUUGGGGCCCAUUCUUCAGUGAGAAUUGGAUUUCUUGUGAUAUGAAGGAUAUGAAGGAUAUGAAGGAUAUGAAGGAUAUGAAGGAUAUGAAGGAUAUAUAUAUAUAUAUAUAUAUAUGAGAGAGAGAGGAGAUAGGAGAUAUCAUCUUAAGGACAAAGACAUGCCUUUCACACAAUCAUCUAAGACUUCCUUUGGUCACGUCUUCCAGCAGUAUUGGGAAAUGUCCUCUUCUGUCACAUUGGACAGUGGUGACACAGUGAGACUCAUCUGUUACUGACAUGUCUGCUCUGAUUCAGUAAUUAGCAUCAGAGAGCAAAGCGAGGGGGGGGGUAGCAUCUCCUGAGUACGGAGAGCAAUACUAUGUAAGAUUGUUGCUACACCCGCUCUGCCUCGCCCACACCCACACAGAGUAAGAGUGCUGUAGUAUUUUUAGAACCACACACUUAGAAAAAGUCCUUGUCUCAGAGUGAGUCCUAAAUCAGCCCGUGUAAGCUCCCAAUCUGUACAUCUCCACUAACAUCAGUUGAGCUGAGUUUCUCAAAAGGAUACACUGCAUUAAUUGAGGGCACCCAAUGAAUAAUUAGCAUGAAGAACUAAUUAACUUCUCUCUACUAGCACUUAGGAACAGGCAACUUAGAAAAGGGGAGAAGUGCAAUCCAGCUCCCAUGCCUUUGAGCUUCUCUUCUAGGGAGCGCUUUGUGCGCUAAGGCUCACACUGGUCAUUUCCCUCGACAGCGGUAAGGCCAGUAUUACUACCUCUCACUUAGUAAGAGAGAAUAAGAUCAAAGAAUCUAGAGAAGUUGCCGCGGGGCCAAGACAUAAAACGGGUGGAAGGAGAUUGGAUUCCAAACCUCCAUUUACACAUCGUGCUGGGGAGCCAGCACUGUCCUAUGGACAAGAAACAGGCUGGGAGGGACCUGGGAGCCGGUACAGUGGAGCAGAGAAUUAAUUACGAGCCGUGUAGCUGGUCAGUGCCAGACAAUAUGAUCAACACUUGACUUGCCUCUCUCACUUACUUACUUUGUCCCCCAACCCCCACCCAAAGCCCUGCAGGUUUAUAAGUUUCGGGACGAGACAGACAGACACUGGAUAAUUAAACAGGUCUCUUGACGCUGCACGGCGGGGUAACCCAAAGAUGAGUUCAUAGUCGUUCAUUAUUCUUUGUUCACCUCUUUCACCCCUGCUUCUCUUUCUUCUUCCACAUGUAAAAUCAGUAUGGGUCAAGCUGACCUCACUCAAGUUUAUUUUAUUGUAUUUUUUUAAAAAAGACCAAUAUCUCACCCUACUUUUGGAAUACCAACAUACUAUCUGGGGACACGGAGAGAGAUUUGGCUAGCAUUCUGCGCAUGUCAGCAGUAAACAUAGCUUUAGGUUUUGAUCCCUGAACCUUUUUGGCUAUUCUUUAAGCCUUCAUCAAGUUCCUUCUCAUUCCAUCUGAAAAUUAAAGUAGCUAGGCUACUUUAAAAGGGCUAAUAAACAACUUUGGCAAUGGCUUACAUUUUA